RNAcentral lists this ribosomal RNA (859 nucleotides) under uncultured organism. Its description in RNAcentral is "SSU rRNA". It matches the Rfam family "Bacterial small subunit ribosomal RNA", at positions 36 to 875 of the family's 1533-position model. The record is from RNAcentral.
CUGGUGGCGUGCCUAAUACAUGCAAGUCGAGCGGACGAUUCAAAAGCUUGCUUUUGGAUCGUUAGCGGCGGACGGGUGAGUAACACGUGGGCAACCUGCCCUGUAGACGGGGAUAACACCGAGAAAUCGGUGCUAAUACCGGAUAACACGGAAGACCGCAUGGUUUUUCGUUGAAAGGCGGCGCAAGCUGUCGCUACAGGAUGGGCCCGCGGCGCAUUAGCUAGUUGGUGAGGUAACGGCUCACCAAGGCGACGAUGCGUAGCCGACCUGAGAGGGUGAUCGGCCACACUGGGACUGAGACACGGCCCAGACUCCUACGGGAGGCAGCAGUAGGGAAUCUUCUGCAAUGGACGAAAGUCUGACGGAGCAACGCCGCGUGAGCGAAGAAGGCCUUCGGGUCGUAAAGCUCUGUUGUUAGGGAAGAACAAGUACCGCAGUCACUGGCGGUACCUUGACGGUACCUAACGAGAAAGCCACGGCUAACUACGUGCCAGCAGCCGCGGUAAUACGUAGGUGGCAAGCGUUGUCCGGAAUUAUUGGGCGUAAAGCGCGCGCAGGCGGUUCCUUAAGUCUGAUGUGAAAGCCCACGGCUCAACCGUGGAGGGUCAUUGGAAACUGGGGGACUUGAGUGCAGAAGAGGAGAGCGGAAUUCCACGUGUAGCGGUGAAAUGCGUAGAGACGUGGAGGAACACCAGUGGCGAAGGCGGCUCUCUGGUCUGUAACUGACGCUGAGGCGCGAAAGCGUGGGGAGCAAACAGGAUUAGAUACCCUGGUAGUCCACGCCGUAAACGAUGAGUGCUAAGUGUUAGAGGGUAUCCACCCUUUAGUGCUGUAGCUAACGCAUUAAGCACUCCGCCUG